Xiphophorus maculatus (southern platyfish) is the source of this 672-nucleotide long non-coding RNA. RefSeq lists it as uncharacterized. The record is from RefSeq and is a predicted model, not a curated record. The transcript has 3 exons. Lineage: Eukaryota; Metazoa; Chordata; Actinopteri; Cyprinodontiformes; Poeciliidae.
CCAAAGGUGCAACCAAAUUCUCUUUUUUUUGAGAGCUUAUUGAAAUGAGUUUUUUGUUGUCCAGAACAGCAGUUCUGCAUAUUUUAUGUGUUUGCCUUAUGCUGUAGCCAUGACUUAAAUGGAUGUCUGACUGACAAGCUUCUGCAGCACUUUGUGACUUGUAAUCAUUUAAAUUACAGUAGGCCUACCCUGAGUGUUGAGAAGCCUGGAAUCACUGCCUUGUUCAGAUCAUUAAUUAAUUUUAUGGAUGCUAUAGUUAUACUAUCUAUUUUAUAAGAUCUCAUUUUCUGUCAUAUCUUUUGCCCUAAAAGAGAGAUGAAGAGUUAAAGCAGUCCACCGGCUCACUUGACCCCUCCUUGCCAAAGUCUGGGGGUCCGGGGGGACAGAAGACAGCGAGCCAGACAGCGUCAUCAUGCUGUUCCUGGAGGAGGCUUGUGUUAGGCCUCCUACCAUUUUUACCUUUCACUGCUGCCAUUACACUGACUCUCAACUAUUUAACAUCUUCGUCUUGCUCGGUGUUCUUCCUGGGCAGCAGUGUAGAGUUCCCAAACCUGACCUUCUCAUUAGAGCUGACCGAUCCCGCCUCCCCUCAGUUCCGCCUGCAGGCUCAGGCUUUGGACCAUUAUUUCUCAAAACUCUAUGACUCUACCCCGUGGAGGUCUUACUACCUGC